AGUCCAUGAUGGGCUGACAGGUCAGGGAAAGCCCUGAUUUAUCGUCCCAUCCACGGCGCGGACCAUCUGUCCUCAUUAGUUCACAGGGGUUUAUGGUUUUUUAAUCUUUUCCACAUACGCACACGGUAAGUGAGUGCUCCACGCAGCCUUUCUGGCCAUGCACUUUCAUGUCUUGGCUGUUGGCCUCUGAGUUACGACCCAGGACACAUUCUAAAUGCGCUUCAUCCCAUUUCCGCUAAUGAGCAGACAUGAGCAGCUCCUCACAAUGGAGGCACCCGGAGGUGCAAUCAAACCACGUUUGCCAAGCUAGAUGAGGGCUUUGCUCUGGGGUCUGUGGACCGGUGUCUAGAAAGUUCUCAUGUGUGUUUCAACCAAUUAGAGCCCAGCAGAAGAGACCUUGAACUCACAGCUAAAGCUGAGAAGUUCCCUCUGUACCAACAGGGCACCACAUUCUUCUUCUCUCUCCAGCCAGGACUAGCAGGGUAAGGACAGUUGUCUUAGGUGCCUCAUGGGGAUGGUUUGAAUAUGCUUGGCCCACAGAAGUAGCAGUAUCAGGAGGUGUGGCCUUGUUGGAGGAAGUGCGUCACUGUGGGCGGGGCGGGCUUUGAUACGCUAGGCUCAUGCUCCUGCCAGUGUGGAAGAGAGCCUCCUCCUAACUGCCUGCGGAAGACAGUUUCUUGCUGCUGCCUGUGGAUCAAGAAGACAUAGAACUCUGGGCUCCUCCAGCAUCAUGUCUGCCUGCCCGCCGUCACGCUUCCCGCCGUGAUGAUAUUGGACUGAACCUCUGAAAUUAGAGAAACACACCAAAAACCUUCUGGUGCUCUUCCAGUGAUGUCUUGCCACUUCUUUAGCAGAUUGGCAGAGCCUUGUGGUUACUUCUGGAUCCACCUGCCCCUGCUGAUUCCCGAAUGGUGUUGGCGAGUGGAUCAAGCUGCCAGUGCCUACUCGUGCGACUUGAACUGCUGAUAUCCUGACUGUGCAGACUGGAUUCACCUCAAAGAACAAUUUCUAAACAUAUUCACAGUCUCCUUAGCUCUAUGAACUUUUCCUUUCUGCUACCUCUCAUGGGUGGUGGGAUAGAAGGGGCGUUGAAGCACUUAAGGACCCUUAUGAAAAGUAGGUUCUGAAAAAAACCUAAGCCUACAGUUUCUCUGGAGGAUCUUUGAGAACUUCAGUUUCUAGAGCAUUAAAGUGGUUCUGGAUUACCACUG
Long non-coding RNA from Rattus norvegicus (Norway rat), 1211 nucleotides. RefSeq lists it as uncharacterized. NCBI's taxonomy places the organism in Eukaryota, Metazoa, Chordata, Mammalia, Rodentia, Muridae. The record is from RefSeq and is a predicted model, not a curated record.